GAUGAACGCUGGCGGCGUGCCUAAUACAUGCAAGUCGAGCGAACAGACGAGGAGCUUGCUCCUCUGACGUUAGCGGCGGACGGGUGAGUAACACGUGGAUAACCUACCUAUAAGACUGGGAUAACUUCGGGAAACCGGAGCUAAUACCGGAUAAUAUAUUGAACCGCAUGGUUCAAUAGUGAAAGACGGUUUUGCUGUCACUUAUAGAUGGAUCCGCGCCGCAUUAGCUAGUUGGUAAGGUAACGGCUUACCAAGGCAACGAUGCGUAGCCGACCUGAGAGGGUGAUCGGCCACACUGGAACUGAGACACGGUCCAGACUCCUACGGGAGGCAGCAGUAGGGAAUCUUCCGCAAUGGGCGAAAGCUUGACGGAGCAACGCCGCGUGAGUGAUGAAGGUCUCCGGAUCGUAAAACUCUGUUAUUAGGGAAGAACAAAUGUGUAAGUAACUAUGCACGUCUUGACGGUACCGAAUCAGAAAGCCACGGCUAACUACGU
RNAcentral lists this ribosomal RNA (496 nucleotides) under uncultured bacterium. RNAcentral's name for it is "partial 16S ribosomal RNA". It matches the Rfam family "Bacterial small subunit ribosomal RNA", at positions 28 to 506 of the family's 1533-position model. The record is from RNAcentral.